UGGGGAAUAUUGCACAAUGGGGGAAACCCUGAUGCAGCGACGCCGCGUGAGCGAUGAAGGCUUUCGAGUCGUAAAGCUCUGUCCUAUGGGAAGAUAAUGACGGUACUACAGAAGAAAGCCCCGGCUAAUUACGUGCCAGCAGCCGCGGUAAUACGUAAGGGGCGAGCGUUGUCCGGAAUUAUUGGGCGUAAAGAGUGCGUAGGCGGCAAAUUAAGUCAGAUGUGAAAACUAAGGGCUCAACCCAUAGAUUGCAUCUGAAACUGAUAUGCUUGAGUCAAGGAGAGGAAAGUGGAAUUCCUAGUGUAGCGGUGGAAUGCGUAGAUAUUAGGAGGAAUACCGGUGGCGAAGGCGACUUUCUGGACUUGAACUGACGCUGAGGCACGAAAGCGUGGGGAGCAAACAGG
Molecule: ribosomal RNA, 404 nt
Filed under: Verrucomicrobiota bacterium
Lineage: Bacteria; Pseudomonadati; Verrucomicrobiota
Description: Verrucomicrobia bacterium partial 16S ribosomal RNA
Rfam family: Bacterial small subunit ribosomal RNA
Source: RNAcentral